CUCCGUAUUACCGACAUGACAGACAUUUCCUAUCCUCGCAUAUUCGGUUUCUACACGUCGAAAUACACAAGACAGGCGAGUUUGAGCGAAAUCCAAGGUGUUUUGGACUAUCUGAGCUAGCACCUGCCUGCGGAUUCCCUAUAAUAAUUAUCACUUCCUAGAAGUUGUACUGGCAGUGAAUUUCGGAACGCAGCCUCUGCAACCAGCUCUAGACCGCCAAUCUUACUUACAUUUUUUAAGCAAACUAAAUUCAACGUCAGAAUACGAAUA
Harpegnathos saltator (Jerdon's jumping ant) is the source of this 270-nucleotide long non-coding RNA. RefSeq lists it as uncharacterized. The transcript is spliced from 3 exons. NCBI's taxonomy places the organism in Eukaryota, Metazoa, Arthropoda, Insecta, Hymenoptera, Formicidae. The record is from RefSeq and is a predicted model, not a curated record.